UCUCUUCAGUUCACUACACCCGAUCCUUCUUGCUUUUCUUUCUUAUUUUUCUUCUUCCUUCCUCUUUGUUUCUUCUUCUUUCCUGCUCUUCAUUUUUCUUUUUCUUCGCCUUCUCGCCCGAGUACACAGACAGAGAAAUCAGAGAGCUGAGAGCGAGAGAGUGAGACUUAGAGGGAGACUUGAGAGAACAGAGAGAUCGAGAGAGAUGAGAAGAGAGAUCAGUAGGGCGAGAGAGAGAGAGAAAACACGAUCGAGAGAGAGAGAGAGAGGGCCGAUAGUGGAGGACCCAGACCGAACCGGAGAAGAGAGAACCAGGGGAGGCCGGUCCUCCAUGGGUCGCCGGAGGACGCGACUUCCGACGGCCUGGAGCGCGACUUCCGGUGGGUGAGCUGGGUCGGCGAGGCAGAGCCGAUUUCCGGCGGAACGGAGGUGCGAUUUUCGGUGGGCGACGCCGGUGAGCAAGCUGGGUUUGCAAUGGGUGAUUUCCAGCGACUUGAGGCGAUUUCCAGCAAGUGACAUGGCAGAGACCCAUGAAGCCGAUUCCGCUAUUCUCUCGGUGGAUUUUCUGUGAAAAUCCCCAAAGAUGAUGAAUUGAGACUGCACAAAAGGGCUGUGGGUCAUUACAUCCCCAGUCCCCACUAAGCAGAGCACGCAUUUUUGGUUUUGCUCACAAUGGUGAGGUCCUCCACGACCACAAUGACGUCAUUUCCAACGAUAUAGCUCAAAGGACUACACGCACAGCCUCAUCCACUACUCUGUCGCUGUAAGGGAUCACACCACACUGUCCCGACUCGUUCCCACCAUGCUCAAACUCGCUGAUCUGGAUAGGAACCACACCGAGUCCGACUCCCACGCUCAGGAGUGACUCAGCAACCAGAUCUCCUUUGUCCUCAACCGCCACGACGUGCCAGUGACCAAAUCUCCUCUCUUCCUAUCUCUCUUUCUCUAUAGCCAGCUAGUAUGCGUGGGUUGCUAGAUUUCUGGCCGAAUCUCUGUUGAAAGUAUAUGUUUGGGUCAAGUUGCCUUUUUUUUUUUUCUUCCUUACUGCAAGACAGUUUUUCUUUCUUUGUUUUCCAAGUUGUAUCAAUUCUUGAUUAAAUUUUAGAUUGCAAUUUUAUAUUUUUUUUCAAA
This is a long non-coding RNA of Alnus glutinosa, 1131 nucleotides long. RefSeq lists it as uncharacterized. The record is from RefSeq and is a predicted model, not a curated record. NCBI's taxonomy places the organism in Eukaryota, Viridiplantae, Streptophyta, Magnoliopsida, Fagales, Betulaceae. The transcript is spliced from 3 exons.